Molecule: RNA transcript, 3564 nt
Organism: Lynx canadensis (Canada lynx)
Lineage: Eukaryota; Metazoa; Chordata; Mammalia; Carnivora; Felidae
Gene: USP4
Gene name: ubiquitin specific peptidase 4
Exons: 22
Source: RefSeq, a predicted model, not a curated record
AGGCGGAUGUCCGGGCCGGCUGGGCCGGGGCCGCGGACGAGAUGGCGGAAGGUGGAGGCUGCCGUGAGCGACCGGAUGCGGAGACCCAGAAAUCGGAGCUCGGGGCCUUGAUGAGGACCACGCUCCAACGAGGGGCGCAGUGGUAUCUUAUUGACAGCCGGUGGUUCAAGCAGUGGAAGAAGUAUGUGGGCUUCGACAGCUGGGAUAUGUACAAUGUGGGUGAACACAAUCUGUUUCCUGGCCCAAUAGAUAACUCUGGACUCUUUUCAGAUCCGGAGAGUCAGACCUUGAAAGAACAUUUAAUUGAUGAAUUGGAUUAUGUAUUGGUCCCAACCGAGGCCUGGAAUAAAUUACUCAACUGGUAUGGCUGUGUAGAAGGCCAGCAGCCCAUUGUCAGAAAAGUUGUGGAGCACGGCCUGUUUGUCAAACACUGCAAAGUGGAGGUAUAUUUGCUGGAACUGAAGCUCUGUGAGAACAGUGACCCCACCAAUGUGCUGAGUUGCCAUUUCAGCAAGGCAGACACCAUUGCAACCAUCGAGAAGGAGAUGCGGAAGCUGUUCAACAUCCCUGCUGAGCGUGAAACACGGCUGUGGAACAAAUACAUGAGCAACACUUAUGAGCAGCUGAGCAAGCUAGACAACACUGUCCAGGAUGCGGGGCUGUACCAGGGUCAGGUGCUAGUAAUUGAGCCCCAAAAUGAAGAUGGCACAUGGCCGAGGCAGACCUUGCAGUCAAAAUCAAGCACUGCACCUAGCAGAAAUUUUCCUACCUCUCCAACAUCAUCAGCAAGUCCCUAUUCCUCAGUGUCUGCCUCUUCCAUUGCAAAUGGUGAUAGCACUAACACCUCUGGGAUGCACAGUUCCGGUGUCAGCAGGGGUGGAUCUGCCUUCUCUGCUUCGUAUAAUUGUCAGGAGUCCCCAUCGUCUCACAUACAGCCUGGGCUCUGCGGACUUGGAAACCUGGGGAACACUUGCUUCAUGAACUCUGCUUUACAGUGCUUGAGCAACACCGCACCACUGACUGACUACUUUCUCAAAGAUGAGUAUGAGGCUGAGAUCAACAGAGACAAUCCUCUGGGAAUGAAAGGGGAAAUUGCAGAAGCCUAUGCAGAGCUCAUUAAACAGAUGUGGUCUGGAAGGGAUGCUCACGUGGCACCUCGCAUGUUCAAAACCCAAGUGGGACGUUUCGCCCCUCAGUUUUCUGGCUACCAGCAACAAGACUCUCAGGAGUUGUUAGCCUUUCUUCUAGAUGGAUUGCAUGAAGAUCUGAACCGUGUAAAGAAGAAGCCCUACCUGGAGCUGAAGGAUGCCAACGGGCGGCCAGAUGCGGUGGUGGCAAAGGAAGCCUGGGAGAAUCACAGGUUGAGGAAUGACUCUGUGAUUGUGGACACAUUCCAUGGCCUCUUCAAAUCUACUUUGGUUUGCCCAGAAUGUGCUAAGGUUUCUGUGACCUUUGACCCAUUUUGCUAUCUAACUCUCCCACUGCCCCUGAAGAAAGAUAGAGUUAUGGAGGUCUUCCUGGUUCCUGCUGACCCUUGCUGCAGACCUACUCAGUACCGCGUGGUUGUGCCGCUGAUGGGGGCUGUGUCUGACCUGUGCGAGGCUCUCUCCAGGCUGUCUGGCAUUGCUGCAGAAAACAUGGUGGUCACAGAUGUAUAUAAUCACCGGUUCCACAAAAUUUUCCAAAUGGAUGAAGGUUUAAACCACAUCAUGCCUCGGGAUGACAUUUUUGUGUACGAGGUCUGCAGCAUCUCCGCUGAUGGCUCUGAGUGUGUCACACUUCCAGUCUACUUCAGGGAAAGGAAGUCCAGGCCGUCGAGCACUUCUUCCGGGGCAGUGCUGUAUGGACAGCCACUGCUGGUUUCUGUUCCCAAGCACAAGCUAACCCUUGAGUCUUUGUACCAGGCUGUUUGUGAGCGUAUCAGCCGCUAUAUAAAACAGCCUUUGCCUGAUGAGUCUGGCAGCUCGCCCUUGGAGCCGGGGGCCUGCAAUGGCUCCAGGGGCAGCUGUGAAGGUGAGCGCUCGCCACGCUGUGGGGCUGUGACUGACCAAAUCCCUCCUGACCUCCCUCUUCUUCCAAAGGAGAAGAUGAAGAAGAAAUGGAGCAUCAGGACGAAGGCAGAGAGCAACUUUCAGACACAGAAGGCAGUGGGGAGGACGAGCUGGGAAAUGACUGCGGGGAGACCACCCAAAAGAAGGUCAAAGGCCAGUCCUGCCCGAAAAGGCUUUUUACCUUCAGCCUCGUGAACUCCUACGGAACAGCUGAUAUAAAUUCCCUUGCAACUGAUGGAAAACUACUUAAACUCAAUUCUCGAUCCACACUGGCCAUCGAUUGGGACAGUGAGACCCGGAGCCUUUAUUAUGAUGAGCAAGAAUCUGAGGCCUAUGAGAAGCACGUGAGCAUGUUGCAGCCUCAGAAGAAGAAGAAGACCGCGGUGGCGCUGAGAGACUGCAUCGAGCUCUUCACCACCAUGGAGACCCUUGGGGAGCAUGACCCCUGGUACUGUCCCAACUGUAAGAAGCAUCAACAGGCCACAAAGAAGUUUGACCUGUGGUCCUUGCCGAAGAUCCUGGUGGUCCACCUCAAACGUUUCUCCUACAAUAGAUACUGGAGGGAUAAGCUCGACACCGUUGUGGAAUUCCCCGUCAGAGCUCUGAACAUGUCCGAGUUUGUGUGUGACCUGUCAGCAAGGCCUUAUGUGUACGACCUCAUUGCCGUAUCUAAUCAUUAUGGAGCCAUGGGGGUUGGCCACUACACCGCAUAUGCGAAGAACAAACUGAACGGGAAAUGGUAUUAUUUUGAUGAUAGCAAUGUGUCCCUGGCCUCCGAGGAUCAGAUAGUGACAAAAGCAGCUUACGUGCUAUUUUACCAACGUCGAGAUGAUGAAUUUUAUAAGACACCUUCACUCAUCAGUUUUUCUGGAUCCUCUGAGGGAGGGACGAGCCCAAGCAGCUCACAGCAGGGCAUGGGGGACGAUGAGGCUUGCAGCAUGGACACCAACUGAUGCUGUCUCCGUGACUCUGCCACCCCACAGCACCAGUGUAAUCCCCCAGGAGAACAGCUUUGACACUCUGGAGACUUCUAGUCUAAAAACCAGAUGAGGAAAUUCCCUUUUAUGAGCAGAAGAAAAAAAAAAAAGACCCUGUUUGCUCAGAAGGGUUAUGUCAAGAGGCUGAAUUAUUUUUCUUUUUAUGCAGGUGGUGAGAAAUUUCUUGUAAGACCUGUGGAGCUGCAAAGUAGGGGGUGGGGGGUGCACAGUGGAGUAAGUCCUGUGAAUUCCAAAGAAUGGAGAGGAACAGUAAUGGAGUAUGGUGGCCGUGAAGACAGACAUGCAGGAGGCUGCCCUGAGCUCCUGGAUUUCUUAUUCUGGUGCUGAUUACUGGUCACCCCAGCAGUCUGCCCGCAGUAAACCAAGCCUCAAGUUCACUUGAUAUUGUCCCCUUCUCCCUUGCUGUGCACUGAGAUGGGUUUGUAAUUCCCUCAAAAUUAGCCACUGAAGCCCGUUUCUGUGUCCCUUUGAGCCAUCUUGGAAUUUCCAUCUUUCUUCCCCCUAAUGAAAUGAAA